Molecule: ribosomal RNA, 252 nt
Filed under: uncultured marine eukaryote
Lineage: Eukaryota
Description: partial 18S ribosomal RNA
Rfam family: Eukaryotic small subunit ribosomal RNA
Source: RNAcentral
GCGGUUAAAAAGCUCGUAGUUGGAGUUCUGCCAGGUGCCACCUGUCCGCCCCAGUGGUGAGUACGUGGUGCGCAUUUGGCCCUUUCAAGGGGAGCGUAUUUGCACUUAAUUGUGUGGUGCGGGAUCCUUGACUUUUACUUUGAGGAAAUAAGAGUGUUCCAAGCAGGCUCUCGUCGUGCAUAGCUCAGCAUGGAAUAAUAGCAUUGGACCUCGAUUCUAAGCUGUUGGUUGCCAGAAGCGAGGUAAUGAUGA